UGGGGUGCAGCUCAGUGGUAGAGCACUUGCCUAACAUACUUCAGGCCUGGGUUCCAUCCCCAGUGCCACAA
This 71-nucleotide transfer RNA is filed under the name Cavia porcellus (domestic guinea pig). It matches the Rfam family "tRNA". Rfam says of the family: Transfer RNA (tRNA) molecules are approximately 80 nucleotides in length. Their secondary structure includes four short double-helical elements and three loops (D, anti-codon, and T loops). Lineage: Eukaryota; Metazoa; Chordata; Mammalia; Rodentia; Caviidae. The record is from Rfam by way of RNAcentral.